UACGAAGGGGACUAGCGUUGUUCGGAAUUACUGGGCGUAAAGCGCACGUAGGCGGAUUUGUAAGUCAGGGGUGAAAUCCCGGGGCUCAACCUCGGAACUGCCUUUGAUACUGCAAAUCUCGAGUCCGAUAGAGGUGGGUGGAAUUCCUAGUGUAGAGGUGAAAUUCGUAGAUAUUAGGAAGAACACCGGUGGCGAAGGCGGCGUUCUGGACUGCAACUGACACUGAGGAACGAAAGCCAGGGGAGCAAACGGG
RNAcentral lists this ribosomal RNA (253 nucleotides) under uncultured bacterium. RNAcentral describes it as "partial 16S ribosomal RNA". It matches the Rfam family "Bacterial small subunit ribosomal RNA", at positions 524 to 776 of the family's 1533-position model. The record is from RNAcentral.